AUAUCAUACACGCUGAGUUCCAUAUGGAAGCGGGGGACCCACUUUUGGGGCGAAUUCCGAAAGGAUAGGAUAACUCUUUCAAUCCGAGCCCGACAGCUAACCUCGUAAGCGUUGAAAGAGGAGGA
Molecule: small RNA, 125 nt
Filed under: Maledivibacter halophilus
Lineage: Bacteria; Bacillati; Bacillota; Clostridia; Peptostreptococcales; Caminicellaceae
Description: Clostridium halophilum c-di-AMP sequence
Rfam family: c-di-AMP riboswitch aptamer (ydaO/yuaA leader)
About the family: This family represents a conserved RNA structure found upstream of the ydaO and yuaA genes in Bacillus subtilis and related genes in other bacteria.
Source: Rfam by way of RNAcentral